RNAcentral lists this long non-coding RNA (2255 nucleotides) under Homo sapiens (human). Its description in RNAcentral is "HSALNT0189065". Lineage: Eukaryota; Metazoa; Chordata; Mammalia; Primates; Hominidae. The record is from RNAcentral.
GAAGAUGGAGAGACACGGCAGCUGAGUAAUUUUGUUUCCCGUCAUCUGUUAAACACCGCACCAUCUGUCAAUUCCACCCUCAGCCUCCCACCCACUACCCAGAGGCCAGCGUGGGGGAGGAGGCCAUUUUCUUAGAGUCUGAGCCUUCAGGCCCACUCCCACAAAAAGACUCAGAGUACCCACAAAAAGCUCAUUUUUCAGCUCAGAACCAACAGCUGUGGACUAGAAUUACAGGGGGCAGCACAGGAACAAGAUUAAGGACUUUCUGAGGUCAGAGGUAUAACGCAAGAAUACUCACAGGGUAGCAGAGAGCACCUGACUGCCCUGGUACAGGAAGCCACUCACCCCGGUCCGCUGGUGACACAGACAGCCGUGCUGCCCAGGACCCAGAAAACCUCACCUUGUGGCACAGAAGGUGCCCGCUGCCUCCCUCUCUUGUAGCCUUGCUGACUCCGACAAACCUGUGUUUGUCUCAGAGGCCAGCUCCUGCAGGACUGAACUACGCCUCCUUCCCCUAACCGUCACUGCCACCAGUCCGAUGGCCUGACUCCUCAGCACAGUGAGCCUUGGGGUGCCGAGAGCAGGCCUCCUCAAAACCCUGGAGGGGCUGUCACUAUAGGGAGGGGAUACAUUGUGAGAAUUCUGGAAUCACAGGGACCAUUGGACAACCUGAGGGUAACUGACUUCUGCAGGGGUCAGGAGGAUGCCCCAGAGUCAGUGGCUUCUGGGCUGGGGUUGGAGGGAGGAAUAAAAUAAAAGUUCACCAGGGCCGGAGGCUCGGCCCCAGGGAGGAUUAUUUGAGGCCUGAAGUUCUGGACCAGCCCAGGCAACACAGUGAGAUACCAUCUCUGAAAAAAAAAAAUUAAAAUAUUAGCCAGCUGUGGUGGUACGUGUCUGUAGUCCUACCUACUCUGGAGGCUGAGGCAGAAAGAUUGCUUGAGCCCAGGAGUUGGAAGCUGCAGUGAGCUAUGAUUGUGCCACUGCACUCCAGCCUGGGUGACAGACUGAGACUCCAUCUCUAAAAAAGUUUAAAAGUUCACCAGAGAAGGAAGAGAAGUGGUGCUCCAGGAAGAAGGAGCAGUGUGUGCAAAGAUGGGAGUGUGAAAGUCCAGCUGCAGCCUGGGGAAGCAUGGCAAGUGUGAUGUACCUGCAGGAAGAGUGUUGGAGGGGAGGAGUUGACUGGGAUAUGGAGGGGAACCAUGUGUGAAGGGAGUCUGAAGGGACACAAAUACCAGGUCAAGGAAUUUUGACUUGAGUUUGUUAUAACAAAUUGAAGUAUCUGCAGGAAGGGGUAGACAGGAACAAAAAUGGCCAAACACAUGAAGCUGACAAGAAGUAAAAUAAGAAGGCAAGGGCCAGCCUAAGUGAUAAAAAGGCCAUUCACUCAUCUGGGCCUCAGACCUGGGAGACAAUAGGGAUUGGUGAGGUUUCCAGAAUUCCCUCAAUGGUGCAUAGGUAAGCCCCAGGGAUACCUUGUAAAGGCCACAGUUGUUACUCAGCCCCAGCCACUUGUUGCCAUCCAAGAAUGCAAACAUAUUGCCAGUGUUUUCAAGAAAAUUUAAAAAUAGAGCGAUGUGCACUAUUUAAAAAUAGUGACUGGAGCCUGUAAUCUCAGCUACUCAGGAGGCUGAAGCGGGAGGAUCACUUGGGCCCAGGAAUUAAGGCUGCAGUGAGCUAUGAUUGCACCACUGCACUCCAGCCUGAGGGACAAAGCAAGACUCCGCCUUAAAUUUUUUUUUUUUUUUUUUAAACAGGGUUGCACUCUGUCACCCAGGUUGGAGUACAAUGGCACCACGCCACUCAGCUUACUGCAGCCUCUGCCUGCUGGGCUCAAGCAAUCCUCCCACCUUAGUCUCCUGAGUAGCUGGGACUACAAGCACACACCACCACACCUGGCUAUGUUUUUUUGUUGUUGUUUCCUUUUUUUUUUUUUUUUUUUGUAAAGACGCGGUUUCGCCGUGUUGCUCAGGCUGGUCUCUAAUUCCUGGGCUCAAGUGAUCUGCCCACCUCGCCUUCCAAAGUGCUCUGAUUACAGGCGUGAGUCACUAUGCCCAGCCAAAAAAAAAUUUUUUUUAAUAAAUGUAGAUUUUGGUGUUGCCUCCUGGCUUUUAAAUCUUGACAACUAUUUUUAAAAAAGUUUAAUUAUGUGAGUGCCCUAACUACACAGGACACAAACAUAAUGGGACUAGAUUUGGCCCACUGGCCACCAGUCUUCAAUGGCUUCAGAGUUGCUGGAAAGCUAUUGGAAGUUGUGC